This 453-nucleotide ribosomal RNA is filed under the name rape rhizosphere bacterium cse038. RNAcentral's name for it is "bacterial SSU rRNA". It matches the Rfam family "Bacterial small subunit ribosomal RNA", at positions 27 to 477 of the family's 1533-position model. The record is from RNAcentral.
GAUUGAACNNUGGCGGCAUGCCUUACACAUGCAANUCGAACGGUAACAGGUCUUCGGACGCUGACGAGUGGCGAACGGGUGAGUAAUACAUCGGAACGUGCCCAGUCGUGGGGGAUAACUACUCGAAAGAGUAGCUAAUACCGCAUACGAUCUGAGGAUGAAAGCGGGGGACCUUCGGGCCUCGCGCGAUUGGAGCGGCCGAUGGCAGAUUAGGUAGUUGGUGGGAUAAAAGNUUUCCAAGCCGACGAUCUGUAGCUGGUCUGAGAGGACGACCAGCCACACUGGGACUGAGACACGGCCCAGACUCCUACGGGAGGCAGCAGUGGGGAAUUUUGGACAAUGGGCGAAAGCCUGAUCCAGCAAUGCCGCGUGCAGGAUGAAGGCCUUCGGGUUGUAAACUGCUUUUGUACCGAACGAAAAAGCUUCUCCUAAUACGAGAGGCCCAUGACGGUA